RNAcentral lists this long non-coding RNA (296 nucleotides) under Panax ginseng (ginseng). Its description in RNAcentral is "long non-coding RNA (PGIN_LNC002777)". Lineage: Eukaryota; Viridiplantae; Streptophyta; Magnoliopsida; Apiales; Araliaceae. The record is from RNAcentral.
AACUGUGGCGACCCCAAAUCCGGAUACUUGAAACCCGAACUCGGUUCUCCACGAUACCAUUUCUUUAAGCUGAAUAAUACUAAAUAAUUAUACAUUCGAACUUAAUUUACAUACAUCAAAGUUUACUUCCCCAGGUACGUGACCUUCAAAUACAUUCCUUACAAUAUCUGACAAUAGAUUCCAUUGUCUUACUAACUAUAACCAUUAACUCAUACUAAAUCUCAUUCGAAUAGCUUUUCUUUUCCCUUGUUCGUGCCUGAGCCUUCAGGUCGAUCGUACGUAACUGAAAACAUUUA